GAAAUUUGAGAGGAGCUGUCCUUAGUACGAGAGGACCGGGAUGGACACACCGCUGGUGUACCAGUUGUUCCGCCAGGAGCAUCGCUGGGUAGCUAUGUGUGGCAGGGAUAAACGCUGAAAGCAUCUAAGCGUGAAGCCCCCCUCAAGAUGAGAUUUCCCAUUUCUUCGGAAAGUAAGAUCCCUGAAAGAUGAUCAGGUAGAUAGGUUUGGAGUGGAAGUGUAGCGAUACAUGGAGCGGACAAAUACUAAUCGAUCGAGGACUUAACCAAAA
Molecule: ribosomal RNA, 271 nt
Filed under: Listeria monocytogenes
Lineage: Bacteria; Bacillati; Bacillota; Bacilli; Caryophanales; Listeriaceae
Description: partial 23S ribosomal RNA
Rfam family: Bacterial large subunit ribosomal RNA
Source: RNAcentral